GUGGAAACCACAGCCGCCGUCGGCCCCGUCCUCUCACGCUCGCGAUGUUGGCACUGGCACGCGCCGCUCGCCAACCGGAGUCGAGCGAGCGUGUUGCGCGACUGAAGCCGGCGUGGCCGGCCGCAACCCAGCGGUUAGCGUCGCCGGAUCCCUGGAGCUUGGGGCGUCCGGGCGAAGGGCAGCGUUUCAACCGGCGGGGCCCUUACUCUGCAUUGCACGCGCCGAUAUUUUCUUGGAUGUUUCAACUAUGAAGCACUGGAGAAGCUUAUGGGCCUUAGUGAUCUGGCUGCAAGGCACUCACUAAUGCACAAGGGAUUUCGCUCACUCGGCCUGUCAGCGGCUGAAAGCUUGUUUCCACAUUGAGCCUUGGGUUGUGCUUUGUGAUCUUUGUCAGGGCCUCGAAGUUGGUGCUAAUGGACGGAUCACGGAUGAUAACUCAUAUACCAACUUCACUCCAAUAAAUUUUCAAGUAGCUCGAAUACUCCAUACCGAGCAGCUCUCCUAGCGUAAUUCUCACCUCUUGCGAUUUUUUAUGUGUAGGUGUAUCAUGUCCGAGGUUGCAUCAGGAUUCAGGACCAGACACUGAAGACAUCUAACAAGAUUGUCCUCGUCCUUCUGCUCACCAGUCACGCUGCUGCCAUCCGUUCGAGUUCAGACCAUUCUCUGUCAGCUCCAACACUUGGAGUUAAGAUCUUAGGCUCUUAGUCAUCAAUCACAGCAACCAACCAUCCUAGUGCAGCAUCGAACAUCUAGCAUAACAACGCCAUUACAUUUGGAAGGCCCCCAUCGAUCUCAUCCGUGCCCCUCCUGUGGCUCCUGGAGAUGCCAAACAGCCAACCGUGUAAGUGGAAUGCGCGGCUGGCCGGCAAGCAUGCAAUGCAAUGCAACGCACGUAGCGUACGUGCGUCAAAGACUGGUGAAAAGAUGAGACCCGCCCCCGUCCGCACGGUGCGAUUAUGUUCUUCUGAAUGGCACAUCGGCGGCCGGAGGACCACCGGCGCGCCGAGGUGGAGGAGGAUGAACCUGGCCGCGUUCGUGCGUGUGCUGAGCCACAGUUUGCUGCCAAAGUCGUCCUUGUCGGGCACCACAUUGCGUGGCUUUUGACAUUUAUGUGUCACCCUCCCAUUAUUCCCCUCCAAUGGUGGACACGCAGCAUAGGCUCGGGAGCGGGCCAUGCCAUGUUUCCCUUGGAGCCGGGCGUGUCUCCGUGUGCCACUUGCGACAGUAGCCCGGCGGACAUCUGUCUCCGCGGCCCACGGAUUUUGUAAUGUCACUAGCUGAUUGAUUGACCAACAGACCAAGUGAUACGUUGCAUCAACACGUCGGCCGGUGAGCUUCGAAAUGCUGUACACAAAGGAUCAUUAUCUCGGGAAGUUCUGUACUUCUCUACUUCUGCAAGAGUUAUGUAGUACAGCUUUGCUUACUUGCUAAGACAGGUAGUACAGUUUAGUCUGGUGCAUGCACAAUAUGCAGGCAUUAUUACAUCGUCGUGUUAAUUACGUCAUCUGUACAAAGCAAACGAAUAUAGCUACGCCAUAUGCAUUCUGCCACUUGUUCGCUUAUUCCCAUUUUCCAA
This is a long non-coding RNA of Triticum aestivum (bread wheat), 1576 nucleotides long. RefSeq lists it as uncharacterized. The record is from RefSeq and is a predicted model, not a curated record. The transcript is spliced from 3 exons. NCBI's taxonomy places the organism in Eukaryota, Viridiplantae, Streptophyta, Magnoliopsida, Poales, Poaceae.